CCGAUCUGAGGUAAAAUACUAAAAAGUUAAACUUGGUCAACUCUUCCAACUUAAAGCUAAACCAUGAAAUUCAUUCUUUCAAAUUGACUCUGAAUAACCUUACAACCAAAACCGACAACUCACAAAAGUUAUAAUACAUUAUAGGUAGUUACCCAUGCCCUCAAAUUACUAAGCAAAGUGUAAUUGCUCAAAAUAACUAGUGGGGUUGUUACAAUUAAAUAUUAAUACAUUAAUUUACCAUGUUUGUAGACAUGUGAUUUUUGACCCUCCCCAAGACUUUUUAUAUUUUAGCACGUAAAUAUGAAUUUAGUAAUACAGCUAUUUUAAUUUAUUUUGACUCUUUUACUUUAUUUUAUUAUAAGAAAAUAAAAAUUACAAAAAAAAAGUUUCAUUAAUGUGUUGUUGUCAUUUUUAAUCUUGAAAAAUAUCAAAAAAUAGUUUUAUUUUAACGGUCAUUCUUAUUUUAAUAGUUGUUCUAUUAAGUAGGACUAAUUAGUAAAUGAGGUUGUAUGUUAGUUCCGUUCACAAAGUAAAAAUAAAAUUUGGGCUCGAUCAACCCAUUUUUAGGGCUAAUUUUGUAUCUAGCCCAUAAUUUUCAAACUCAUAACUCUUAGGUCGAUAUCCCUAACAUGAUCCUACCCGUAUAUAAUAGUACAUAACACCUAAAAUCCAUCUGCGUGAAAUCUGCCGCAGACCCCAUAACAGUUGCCCAUUCUUCUUCAAAAAUGAAAACACCACCAAAAAGAAAUCUAGCGUCCUAGAAACCCUCCCGCCGUCCACUAUUCUUCUUCGACCAACACACAUAAAAAACAAAUAAAAGAAGGCAACCACCCAUUUCUAUUGGAAAAGGAACCAAAUUCCUAAUACCUGGAGAAAACCAGCGAAAUCUUCCCUAAAAAUUAACCCCAAAAUCAGCCAUAAACAUCCCAUUAUAACCCCAAAAUCUGCUUGUGGGAUUGUGCUGCUCGUAUCUGGGAUGUCCGUGAACCGGGUUUGUUGUCUCCAAAAAAAAAUUCCUUGAUCGAUAUUUUGGUUCAUACAGGUUUUUUAGGAUGCACUUGGUUGACUUUUUCUUUGAAUGAGUACUUGAAAAAAAGAAAUUGUUAAUUUGAGCUGAUUUCAUUUGGUUGAUAAUUCAAAUGAUUGAUUUGUUAUUUGUUUAAAGGCUAGACACCAUAUUUGUGGUUGGUUUGAUUUUCAACUGUAACUGCAAAUGGAAUUAAAGGGUCUAAGUGUUGAAAUGUUUAGGAUCUGGACGAGUUGAAGCAAGUUUACGGCAUGUUUUUAUUUGCUGUUGUGAGCACGUAACUUUUGCUCCAGGUGAAUUAUUCUUACAAAAUUCUUAGAUGUAGGAUUUUUUCUUUAAUUAUUUGAUUUUUAGGAUUAAUUGCAUAAUUUUCAUAUUUAUAUGCAUUUUUGUGUGUAUUUUUAAUCAAUAUAAUUCAUGAAAAAAAUACAAAAAAUAUGUGUUGCAUUUAAGACUUAAUUUUACAUAUUUUCAGAUUAAUUAGUAAUUAGGAUUUUACAAAAAUACAAAAAUCAGAUUUUACAAAAAUACAAAAAUCAAACAAAAAUUUGAUUUAUUUUUGCUUUGUUUAAUUUUUAGCUUUGAAUUUCGUUAGUUUCCUUUAAAUUGGUAUUUAAUUAAUUGUGUUGAUUAUUAAUUAGAGCUUAAUAUAAUUAGGUAGGUUAAUUUAAUUUUUAGGAUUUAUUUUAGUUUUGUUUUUAAUUUUAAUUUUUAGAAAAGAAAAGAAAAUCAAAAAAGAAUUGGGUUUUAAUAAGAGAUGCCCAAAUUCGGGCCAACUUCACCCCAGCCCAAACUUGGGUAACCGAGUUGCAGCCCUUGAGGCCGAGAAGGCACAGCUGUUGGCUUAAGCUAUCCCUCAAGAAUCCACCUCUGCUACUGUCUCCCUCGUUUUUAUGAGCUAUGGGUCCAUUCUGAGGCCCAACAAGAUAUAUACAAGGGUUUGCGGAAGGCGGGGAGCGUUCUUGACACCACUUUUGAAAAUGCUCGGGCGAAGGCAUGCGGGGCUCGUAUUGCCUGCGGUUACAACCCCGCGACACCGAACGCCGGCGAUGGUGCUGAGAUUGAAGAUGGAUUUCAUUUUGAUGUCGACGGUGCUAGAGAGGACAGCUGUGUAGGUGAUGCCAAGUGAUUUUUUUUUGCAGCUUUUGUACUUCAUUUUUUUGUUGUUAUCUAUUUUCAUCUUUUUUUUGGAGCCCGCUUUUGGCCGUUUGUAAGGGCGAAACUGUUGUGCAUGUAUAUCUGAAUAAAGUAGUCGCUUCGCCUUCGGUUACGUACCUUUAGUUUUUUUCUCUCCUCUUUUUUUUUUUAAAAAAGACCUUCGAAAUUCCAGGUAAUAAGUCCCUCAGUUUUAAUUGGGAAUUCGAACGAGGCCGGGUCUUAUUUUGUGAGUUCAAAUGGAGUUACCUUUUUGAGCGAGGUAGAGCUUAGAUUUGCCGACUUGGGCGAAGUCAAUUUUGACUUAUAUAUUCAAGCAAGGUCGAACUUAGAUUUGCCAACUUGGGCGAAGUCAAUUUUGACUUGUAUAUUCGAGCGAGGUCAAAUUUAAUUUGCCAACUUGGGUGAAGUCAAUUUUGACUUGUGUAUUCAAGCAAGGUCGAACUUAGAUUUGCCAACUUGGGCGAAGUUAAUUUUGACUGGUGAGUUUGGCGAUGACAGGGGGUCGUAAGGCUGUAAACUCGUGUGAGGUCGAACUUUGACUCGUUAUGAGUUCGACGGGGUUGAACUUUGAUUUGUUAAUUUGGGUGAGAGAAUGCUUACUUCCAUUUAACAAUGGUAGAUGACCGUAAGGGUGUGAAUUCGAGCGAUGUUAGAAUUAUAACCCGUUGUAAGUUCGAGCGUGGUCGAAUGUUCCCUUUAUUCGGUGAUGGUUGAUGGUGUAAGGGUGUGAAUUCGAGCUAGGUCGAAAUUGUAACCCGUUAUGAGUUCGAGCGAGGUUGAACUUUCCCUUUACUCGGUGUUGGCCGACGGUCGUAAGGGUGUGAAUUCGAGCAAGGUCAAAAUUAUAACCGAUUGUGAGUUCGAGUGAGGUCGGAUUUUCCCUUUAUUCGGUGAUGGGCAAUGGCCAUAAGGGUAGAAUUUGAGCAAGGUCGAAAUUAUAACCCAUUGUAAGUUCGAGCGAGGUCGAACUUUGAUUCACUUGGAGAUGUGCGGGUUUGGUGGGAUGGUGAGAUUUGGUUGUUGCAUUACUUUUACUGGAGAACAUAAUUUGUUGCUGCAUUAUUUAUGCGCGCGCCGGGGUGAGUCCCGAUUUAUUUAAUUUAGCUUUCAUUGGAGAGUACUGUGAGUUGGGGUGAGUCCCUAUUUGUUUGAUUUUGCGUUCAUUGGAAAGUACUAUGCGUCGAGGUGAUUCUCGAUUUAUUUGGUUUUGCGUUAAUUGGAGAGUACGGUGCAUCGGUGCAUAGUUUGUAUACGUCGGUGAGUCCUAGUUUAUCCAGUCCCUUAGUUGCUUGUCCGGGAGAGGCUGUUGACGGGACCGGUGGUGAACUUAUUAUUGGGGCUACUGGGUACCCUGGGACCAUAAAUUUAAACGAAGUUCAGACGUGAUUUGUAGUGUUUAGUCGGUUGAAUUGGUGUAGGAUUGUCAUGGCGAGCGUACGUACAAGCUUUUUGAGUUCUGCCUGUCUCGAAGGGGCUACAUGUUCCAUGGGCUCACGGCUCGGUCCCAGGUUAUGGAAAUUGUUUCUUAAUAAUGUCGGCAUGUUCUGAUCCAUUUCUGUUAUUUGUAAUAAGGUACGGCGUGGAGGGUUUUUCUUGACCAUCGCCUGAUAUGGUGCAUGACGUUUUCCUAAUAUGUAUGGUGGCGUUUGCUCCUUGUUUGCGCACCUGUGAGAAUGUUGCGUUCUUAUUCCAAACGUGAAAACAAAAAUAAUAAGUUAAACUCAAAGUGAAAUUGCCCGUUACCUUGACCUGUCAAGUCGAUGAGGGGAGAAGGGCACUGUAGGGUGAACAUUUUAUCCCGCAAUUACAUGGUAUUUUCAGAUUUAACAGCCUCGUGCUUGGUUUCACCGUUAGUCGCGUAUAGGCUUCUUAUGGGUUGAACUUACCUUGCCCGUCAGGAUCUCGAUCUAGGGUCCCGGUCCGAUCCCAUCCGAUGUUCGUAAAAAUAAGGGUAACACAAGUUAUACUUCGUACAUAAAUUACUCAUUGUGCAUACGGUUACAAACAUAAGGCAGGAUAAGUCAGUUAGUUCAAAGAAUCACACAGUAGGCUAUCAUCCUUCCAUAAGAGGUGAAAGUAUAGAUCAAUAUAUAAUGUUACUGUAGCGAAAAGGAUUGUGAACGUGCUAAAUGUGUAGUGGUCACAAUCCUACUUUGAGCACUCGUACGAUGUGCCAAACCUCUCGGCACAAUGAGACGUGGAUUUUGUGUAGAAAUCAGAUGUAAUUUCGAUUUCAUGCAAAGAUCUGACCCUUAUUUGUUUGGUUAUUCAAAAGCUUGCCUACUACUUUUUCGAGUUGGUGUUUAUACUAAGAUGGCGAGACUAUGACAAUCAGGAAGCGAUAUUUCGACUGGUUUUAGAUGUAGAGGAAACUAAAAUUUUGGCUAAGAAAUUUCUACAACGGUGCUAAAUUAUUUGAUUAAGAAGUGUUAAGCUUUUUGUUAAACUACUUACUAAGAAAAUAGAGAAUAAAUCUUAGCCAAGGAUAAUUAACUCUAGAUCAAAGUGCAUUUAAUAUGAGAAUAAAAUAUAGUAAAGCUCAUGAACUUUUAAGACUUAUAGAAGACAUCGAACAUAAAUGAUAUGCUUACAUUCAUGAUGUAUUAUUCCAUAAUAUAAGGCUAAAGGGGGAAAAGAAGGCAUGCCAUUAAUAGUUGCGAGAUCUGUCUUUAUUGAUUCAAGAAAGAUAGUUAUAAGGAUUUGCCGCCUAGAUCCGAAACUUCUCUUAUUUUUCUCAUGUAUCCUUCUUCGAUUUUCCUGCCUUUCUUUUCUAAAGGAGAGCAACUCCCUUCUUGUUAUCUUCCCUCUAUAUAUAGUAAGUAUUCCCUUUUAUCCAACGGUUCUUAGCCAAAAUACCUUACUCUAUUGAUUGUACGCUGGGUCGUUCCCUUUAAAUGUCACAUACAUAUGCUUUGCCAUACAAGUUUUCUGAUAGUCCGAUCCCGGCAACAACCGAAAUACUCGUUGUUGUGAUGUUUUAUAAUUACGACCACGGCUUAGUCAACCCUUUACCAUUCCUUUUAAUAUUGAUCCACGUAUGAUCAGAUUUCGACCCGUACAUUUACGUUAAGAGGAUGAUUGUUUACUCUACCUAAUUAGAUUGACAUUAGCAGAUCAAGCGCCCUAUCUCAACAUUUGUUUCUUAUUUUUCUCGUUGAAAUCACAUCGGCAGUUUCUUUUUAAGAAUAAUAAUUCUUAUUUCUCUUUGUUACAAUACUCAUUCAUACUAAAGUUUUAUCAUCUCUCCAACUUAAAACCUAAGGUUGUUCUAAUCACAAAAUAUUGAAAUAUAACUCAAUAAUAAGUAGGAAAUUAGAGGCGCAACGAAGAAGAUGAAAAUCUUUCGUUGACUAAUUUUGAAAAUCAAAUUAUAAUUAAUCGCUAAUUUACUUUAAGAUUAUACUAAGAUUCAGAGGUGAAAUUUUUUUUCACAAAUUUGAUUUUUUUCUAAAAAAAAUCAGGAGCGAUAAUCUUAAAUUUUAUGUAGAAGAUAAUAUAAUUAAGAAUAUUGCAAUCAGUAAGCACAUUAAUCUUAAACCCAACUGGAAAAGAGCAGGAGAGAGUCAUAUAAAAAUCACAAUAAAUUUGCUGUAACAAGAGGCUAGCUUAUUGUGAAAUACUGUUAUCAAGAAAUAGAAAAUAUAACUAAAUAACCGAAGCCAAUUGUUUUCUAAAUUUUCCAUGUAUAACACACACACAAAAAUCUUUAAAUGUGACUUUUUCAAAGCAGUAGCCACGCACACCAAAUUUCAAAUAUUUCACAGGUACACGAAUGGGUUUGAAAAAUCUUUGUUUCACCAAUUUAGACGUAUAGUAACCUUUGAUUUUUCUAGCACAUAAUAGACUGCGUAUUGUCUAUUUAACUAAAAAAGUAAAAUCCACUUUACCCCUUUAAUCUUUAAAGAUUGGAAAAUAAUACCCUCCUCAAAUUUUGGAAGGGAGAAACCCCCCUUUAUGCAGUAAUUUUUUUUUGUAAAGUUUCUUUUUUAAAUAAUGAUAUAUUCUCUCUAUAUAUAUAAAAUCCAAACCAGUACUUGAAUUCGUCUUUUUUUCUUGUAAAAUCUAAGACAUUUUUAAUUACAUUGAUGUUAUAUUGUAGAGGUGCACCCCUCAUAUGAUGGGGACAAUCCCUCAUUAUAUGCCUAUCAUCACACUGGAAGCAACCCCUCCAUGGGUGUGGCUGCUGGAACUGUGUCUAACUCGGUCAGAUAAAAUGAUCGUUAUAGGUCUACCGUACAGGAGGUACAACAGAAGUGGCAGUGCAAAAUGGACGUUUUGAGGCCCAUGAAUGGCCAGUGCACUAUGAGUAGCUUGAAGUGCAUAAUGAACUGGUCGACUGAUAUAGCCUCUGUCCAGACGAGCUAAAACUGCAAAGCGGGAACCACCAAAACCUUCAAAAUCCCGAGGCUUUUGGCCUCCUUCUCCUAGUUGUGUAUAUGCUCCAACCUCCAAGCGAUCUCCACAGGCUGGUAAAAUGGAGUAUCAGCCUCCAACUCCCGUUCCAUACCGAACCUAAGACCAUAACUUAUCCCCUCAAUAAAUAUGUGAACUCGCUCUCUGACUGUAGAAAUCAAAGCGGGUGCAUGAUGAGAUAUCUCAAUAAACCUUAUGCCAUACUCGGACACACUCAUAGUCCCUUAUGCAACUGCUCGAAUUCUAUGCACAACGCAUUCCUAGGGGUCUAUGGAAAAGAGUCCAAAAAAAUAGAUUAAAACGUUGAGCCCAAGUGAGUGGCACUGAAUUAGCUAGUCUACCCUCCUCUGCCACCAUUUAUAUGUCGACCCCUGCCAGCUGAAAGGUACUAAAGUCAAUCUCCCUCACUGUGAGUACCGUAUUUUUGCCCUAAUGUAAAUUACUCCAAAAUAUAUUUCAAAAUAGUUUUUUAAUUAUUACAUAGAAUUGUAGAAAUUUUUCUUUACUUUUAUCUAAUUUGUUUUGCAUUUAUUUGCAUUGUUCAUGCAUAUUUUGAAGUGUUUUAAACCAAAAAAAUCAUAAGAAAAUGUUUAUUUUUUUCAUCUCAUAGCGUUUUAGACCUUAAUUGAAUUUAUAAUUUAAUUACAUUAAUAAAAUGCAUUAUCAAACGAAAAUCACAAAAAUACAAGUCACUUUUAUAGUUUUAGCUUUUAGUUUUAAAUUAGUAAUUUUAUUUCAUUAGUUUUAAGUUGAUCAAUUAGCUAAAUGUUAGAAAUAGAUGUUAGGUUUAAUCCCAUAAAUUAUAUUUGAUCUAUAAAUUAAAUUAGGUGCUUAAUUAUUUCGAUUAGAAUUUUUAAUACAAAGGAAAAAAAAUAAAGAAAAGAAAUAAAUAGCUUGUUUGGUCUUACUUAAAAUUGGGCCACUAAUUGGCCCAAUUGCCAAUUCUCACACGGGGAAUCACUAGCUAUAUCCAUUUAUAAGUAGUUCAUUGUAAAAAUUGGUCAAUUGAUAAAAUAUUAUUAAUAUUAACCAAAUUAGCCAAUUAGCUAUUUGUAGCAAAAAAAAUCAAAUUUUUCUUUGUUUUGAGUGGGUGUUAUUAUAAUAGAUUGCGCACAACUUAAGAAGUUUGAAUAUCAGUUUUGGGAUAAUUUGAUAAAUUUUUGAGGUGGUUUGAAUUGAAAAUUCGAAGUAAAAGCUAAACAUGAAAAAAAUGAUAUGUGUAUCACAUUGUGUAUCAUUUAUGUAUCACACAUAUAUAAAUUGUGUAUCACAUGUAUAUCCAUCUAUACUUGUGUUUGAGAUACGUAUCACAUGUAUAUCCAUCUAUACUUGUGUGUGAGAUACAUGCCUGAUACAUGUUUGGUACAUGUAUCGUAGAGGACUUUUUCAAACUCGAUUUAAUUAUGAAUUUUGAUACAAAACCAGUCUAAAUCACCUCAAAUCUUCCUUAAAUUUUGUAUAUUGACUUAUCUAUAUAUUUUCAAUGAAUUUCAUCUAUACCCAUUGAAAAAAUUUCAUUUUUGUUUAGAUUUUUGGAAUUUUGUAUAGACUUUUUAUAUUUCAUCACCUUAUUUGCUACCACGUCUAUAAAAUUUCCUUUUCAUGAUUUUGCAUGUGAUUCUUUGAUAGAAAGAACCCUAUUAUUUAGUUUUUUAAUUUUUAUUGACUAAUUUUAAUAAGUCUAUAACUAAUAACUAAAAAUUAAUAAAUUAAAAUUUAUUUGAGAGAUUUGUCCCUUCUCACCUCAAACCUGUCCAAGCCCAUUACCAGCCGGUCCAAUAUCCUCUCUAAAAUACAUCCUAACUCUACACUCCUCACACACACAGAGCCGAGAGAGUAGAGACAGAACGGAUGCCCCCUGGAGGACUAGAGCUAGCCGCCUCUGUUUGUUCAUCUUCUCAAAACAGGAACACCAGAGAACGCCCCCCCCCCCCCUCAUUGGAAGAACCUUACUACCUUAUCUUCUCAUCUUCGAAGCUGAUUUUCUGCAAUUGGGGGCCUUGUCGGACUUCUGCUGUUGCAUUGCUAGGAUUGUUUGACAGAGUUCCAUCCUCCAAUUAUAGCUGUUUCUGCCUUUAUUUGGCUGGUUCUAUUUCAAUUUCUGCCGUUUAGGUACUUUCUCUUCCCAGAUUUGGUGUAAUUACUGUUUUUGAUGUAAAUUUAUCACGAAUCUGUAAUGUUUGUCUGCAUAUUCUAUUUGUUCGAUUUGGUUCUUUACUUGAAGAUUUAAAUUGAUAUUUCUAAAAUGAACUAAAUCAGACAAUGCGUUUCUACCAUAUCCCUAGGCAAGCUUUAAUGUGUUAGCUUUGGUAAAUAUAAGAAUUUGAUGUGAAUUUGGGGAGUAACAGAGUGCGCUCCUAUUUUUCUUAUAUCCAGUUGUUCAACGGAAACUAAAUGCUUGUAUUUCUACCCAUCUGAUGAAGUGAUUUAUCUUUCAACUAUGGC
Molecule: long non-coding RNA, 9043 nt
Filed under: Nicotiana benthamiana
Lineage: Eukaryota; Viridiplantae; Streptophyta; Magnoliopsida; Solanales; Solanaceae
Description: long non-coding RNA (NBEN_LNC014544)
Source: RNAcentral